UACAGAGGUCUCAAGCGUUGUUCGGAUUCAUUGGGCGUAAAGGGUGUGUAGGUGGCGCGCUAAGUCGGGUGUGAAAUUUCGGAGCUUAACUCCGAAACUGCAUUCGAUACUGCCGUGCUUGGGGACUGGAGAGGAGACUGAAAUUUACGGUGUAGCGGUGAAAUGCGUAGAUAUCGUAAGGAAGACCAGUGGCGAAGGCGGGUCUCUGGACAGUUCCUGACGCUGAGGCACGAAGGUCAGGGGAGCAAACGGG
RNAcentral lists this ribosomal RNA (253 nucleotides) under uncultured bacterium. Its description in RNAcentral is "partial 16S ribosomal RNA". It matches the Rfam family "Bacterial small subunit ribosomal RNA", at positions 524 to 776 of the family's 1533-position model. The record is from RNAcentral.